GCGCCGAUAGUCUAGUCUGGUAGGAUAGAAGCUUGCCAUGCUUCAGGCCCGGGUUCGAAUCCCGGUCGGCGCA
This 73-nucleotide transfer RNA is filed under the name Candidatus Woesearchaeota archaeon. RNAcentral describes it as "tRNA-Gly". It matches the Rfam family "tRNA". Rfam says of the family: Transfer RNA (tRNA) molecules are approximately 80 nucleotides in length. Their secondary structure includes four short double-helical elements and three loops (D, anti-codon, and T loops). Lineage: Archaea; Nanobdellati; Candidatus Woesearchaeota. The record is from RNAcentral.